This 455-nucleotide ribosomal RNA is filed under the name uncultured bacterium. Its description in RNAcentral is "bacterial SSU rRNA". It matches the Rfam family "Bacterial small subunit ribosomal RNA", at positions 8 to 507 of the family's 1533-position model. The record is from RNAcentral.
AGAGUUUGAUCAUGGCUCAGAGCGAACGCUGGCGGCAGGCUUAACACAUGCAAGUCGAACGGGCGUAGCAAUACGUCAGUGGCAGACGGGUGAGUAACACGUGGGAACGUACCCUUUGGUUCGGAACAACACAGGGAAACUUGUGCUAAUACCGGAUAAGCCCUUACGGGGAAAGAUUUAUCGCCGAAGGAUCAGCCCGCGUCUGAUUAGCUUGUUGGUGAGGUAAUGGCUCACCAAGGCGACGAUCAGUAGCUAGUCUGAGAGGAUGAUCAGCCACACUGGGACUGAGACACGGCCCAGACUCCUACGGGAGGCAGCAGUGGGGAAUAUUGGACAAUGGGCGCAAGCCUGAUCCAGCCAUGCCGCGUGAGUGAUGAAGGCCCUAGGGUUGUAAAGCUCUUUUGGCGGGGAAGAUAAUGACGGUACCCGCAGAAUAAGCCCCGGCUAACUUCGUG